Molecule: ribosomal RNA, 465 nt
Filed under: Vreelandella stevensii
Lineage: Bacteria; Pseudomonadati; Pseudomonadota; Gammaproteobacteria; Oceanospirillales; Halomonadaceae
Description: partial 16S ribosomal RNA
Rfam family: Bacterial small subunit ribosomal RNA
Source: RNAcentral
CCUACGGGAGGCUGCAGUGGGGAAUAUUGGACAAUGGGCGAAAGCCUGAUCCAGCCAUGCCGCGUGUGUGAAGAAGGCCUUCGGGUUGUAAAGCACUUUCAGUGGGGAAGAAAGCCUUGGGGCUAAUACCCUCGAGGAAGGACAUCACCCACAGAAGAAGCACCGGCUAACUCCGUGCCAGCAGCCGCGGUAAUACGGAGGGUGCGAGCGUUAAUCGGAAUUACUGGGCGUAAAGCGCGCGUAGGCGGUCUGAUAAGCCGGUUGUGAAAGCCCCGGGCUCAACCUGGGAACGGCAUCCGGAACUGUCAGGCUAGAGUGCAGGAGAGGAAGGUAGAAUUCCCGGUGUAGCGGUGAAAUGCGUAGAGAUCGGGAGGAAUACCAGUGGCGAAGGCGGCCUUCUGGACUGACACUGACGCUGAGGUGCGAAAGCGUAGGUAGCAAACAGGAUUAGAUACCCCAGUAGUC